CGUAGGGAGCAAGCGUUGUCCGGAAUUAUUGGGCGUAAAGGGUGCGUAGGCGGUAAUCCAAGUCAGAUGUGAAAUCCCCGGGCUUAACUCGGGUGGUGCAUUUGAAACUGGAUUACUUGAGUGCAGGAGAGGAAAGCGGAAUUCCUAGUGUAGCGGUGAAAUGCGUAGAUAUUAGGAGGAACACCAGUGGCGAAGGCGGCUUUCUGGACUGUAACUGACGCUGAGGCACGAAAGCGUGGGGAGCAAACAGGAUUAGAUACCCUGGUAGUCCACGCUGUAAACGAUGGAUACUAGGUGUGGGGGACAUACAACCUCCGCGCCGGAGCUAACGCAUUAAGUAUCCCGCCUGGGGAGUACGGUCGCAAGGCUG
Molecule: ribosomal RNA, 370 nt
Filed under: uncultured organism
Description: bacterial SSU rRNA
Rfam family: Bacterial small subunit ribosomal RNA
Source: RNAcentral